Molecule: ribosomal RNA, 118 nt
Filed under: Spirosoma sordidisoli
Lineage: Bacteria; Pseudomonadati; Bacteroidota; Cytophagia; Cytophagales; Cytophagaceae
Description: Spirosoma sp. TY50 partial 16S ribosomal RNA
Rfam family: Bacterial small subunit ribosomal RNA
Source: RNAcentral
UUUACGAUGGAGAGUUUGAUCCUGGCUCAGGAUGAACGCUAGCGGCAGGCCUAAUACAUGCAAGUCGAGCGGGUCGCAAGACCAGCGGCAAACGGGUGCGUAACGCGUAAGCAACCUG